AUACGUAGGUGACAAGCGUUAUCCGGAUUUACUGGGCGUAAAGGGCGCGUAGGCGGCGCUUCAAGUCGUCUGUCAAAUGGAAGGGCUUAACCCUUUUUCGCAGACGAAACUGGAGAGCUUGAGAAGCAGAGAGGCAAACAGAAUUCCUGGUGUAGCGGUGAAAUGCGUAGAUAUCAGGAAGAAUACCAGUGGCGAAGGCGGUUUGCUGGCUGCAUACUGACGCUGAAGCGCGAAAGCCAGGGGAGCGAACGGGAUUAGAUACCCCGGUAGUCCUGGCAGUAAACGAUGUAUGCUGGGUGUGAGACUAGCGAUAGUUUCGUGCCGAAGUUAACGCGAUAAGCAUACCGCCUGGGGAGUACGGUCGCAAGAUUGAAACUCAAAGGAAUUGACGGGG
Molecule: ribosomal RNA, 394 nt
Filed under: uncultured bacterium
Lineage: Bacteria
Description: partial 16S ribosomal RNA
Rfam family: Bacterial small subunit ribosomal RNA
Source: RNAcentral